CCUACGGGGGGCUGCAGUGGGGAAUAUUGGACAAUGGGGGGAACCCUGAUCCAGCCAUGCCGCGUGUGUGAAGAAGGCCCUCGGGUUGUAAAGCACUUUCAGUGAGGAAGAACGCCUGGUGGUUAAUACCCAUCAGGAAAGACAUCACUCACAGAAGAAGCACCGGCUAACUCCGUGCCAGCAGCCGCGGUAAUACGGAGGGUGCGAGCGUUAAUCGGAAUUACUGGGCGUAAAGCGCGCGUAGGUGGCUUGAUAAGCCGGUUGUGAAAGCCCCGGGCUCAAACUGGGAACGGCAUCCGGAACUGUCAAGCUAGAGUGCAGGAGAGGAAGGUAGAAUUCCCGGUGUAGCGGUGAAAUGCGUAGAGAUCGGGAGGAAUACCAGUGGCGAAGGCGGCCUUCUGGACUGACACUGACACUGAGGUGCGAAAGCGUGGGUAGCAAACAGGAUUAGAUACCCUGGUAGUC
Molecule: ribosomal RNA, 465 nt
Filed under: Vreelandella stevensii
Lineage: Bacteria; Pseudomonadati; Pseudomonadota; Gammaproteobacteria; Oceanospirillales; Halomonadaceae
Description: partial 16S ribosomal RNA
Rfam family: Bacterial small subunit ribosomal RNA
Source: RNAcentral